This 569-nucleotide long non-coding RNA is filed under the name Gossypium barbadense (sea-island cotton). RNAcentral's name for it is "long non-coding RNA (GBAR_LNC005348)". Lineage: Eukaryota; Viridiplantae; Streptophyta; Magnoliopsida; Malvales; Malvaceae. The record is from RNAcentral.
GAUGCACUUUGCCCAAUCUGUAAAGAAGAGGAAGAGACAGUAGCCCAUCUGUGUCGAGAUUGCGCAUUCACAAAACCAGUUCUGCAGGAGGUAGGAGUGGCACCCUCGAGCACAAACAUGAAUCAAAGUUGGAAACAAUAGUUACUACUAGAAUUAGGAAAUAACAGUUUACAGUAUUGCACAAAUCUAGCUAAUUCAUUUUGAGCGAUAUGGUAUAAUAGGAAUAAGCUUUAUCACAAGGAAGUAAGGGAGUGGGCACAGGAAGUAGUGGGAUUCAUCAAAGCAUACAUAUCAGAAGUCAAACAAUUGGAAAGUACCCAAGAUUAAACACAAAAUAGGAAAAGAAAGUUGGGAACCACUAGAGGGCGAAUUAGUUAAAGCCAAUUUUGAUGCAUUCUACCAGAAAUAAUUAAUCAGAGCUAUAUCCGGGAUUGUAAUCAGGAAUAAUGAAGGAUUACUAAUGGGAUCGUGUUUUCACCCAUGGGAGAACAUUUGAGAUCCGACCAUUGCAGAAGCACGGGCGUGCCUAUAGGCAGUCAUCUUCACAGAAGAUUUGGGUUUUAGAGAAG